This 23-nucleotide non-coding RNA is filed under the name Arabidopsis thaliana (thale cress). The record is from RNAcentral. Lineage: Eukaryota; Viridiplantae; Streptophyta; Magnoliopsida; Brassicales; Brassicaceae.
UACAUGGGCUUGUGACUUUCUCA